UACGGGGGGGGCAAGCGUUGUUCGGAAUUACUGGGCGUAAAGGGUUCGUAGGUGGCUUGCUAAGUCAGACGUGAAAUCCCUCAGCUUAACUGGGGAACUGCGUCUGAUACUGGCGAGCUUGAGUGCAGGAGAGGAACGCGGAAUUCCAGGUGUAGCGGUGAAACGCGUAGAUAUCUGGAGGAACACCGGUGGCGAAGGCGGCGUUCUGGACUGCAACUGACACUGAUGAACGAAAGCCAGGGGAGCAAACGGG
This 253-nucleotide ribosomal RNA is filed under the name uncultured bacterium. RNAcentral describes it as "partial 16S ribosomal RNA". It matches the Rfam family "Bacterial small subunit ribosomal RNA", at positions 524 to 776 of the family's 1533-position model. The record is from RNAcentral.